UCGGCAAGGUAGUACGCACCAGAGUAUACAGUAUUGUUGAUUUGGUAUGUGACCUGAGGGGAAUGACCUCGCAAUACCUCGUCGAACACCGGGGAUUGACCAAGGACAUUGAGGUCAUUCUGAGAUCCGGCAACCCCGAAAAAGGCAUGCCAAACCCAAGUGUCGAAUGAAGCUACGGCCUCCAAAAUGAUACUUUUUUGGCCCUUCCGAUUCCCAUA
This 218-nucleotide long non-coding RNA is filed under the name Prunus persica (peach). RNAcentral describes it as "long non-coding RNA (PPER_LNC006463)". Lineage: Eukaryota; Viridiplantae; Streptophyta; Magnoliopsida; Rosales; Rosaceae. The record is from RNAcentral.